GCGGGGGUGCCCGAGCAAGGUCAAAGGGGGCGGUCCCUUACUCCGCUGGCGUAGGCCUGCGUGGGUUCAAGUCCCACCCCCCGCA
This 85-nucleotide transfer RNA is filed under the name Sulfolobus sp. S-194. RNAcentral's name for it is "tRNA-Lys". It matches the Rfam family "tRNA". From Rfam's summary of the family: Transfer RNA (tRNA) molecules are approximately 80 nucleotides in length. The record is from RNAcentral. Lineage: Archaea; Thermoproteati; Thermoproteota; Thermoprotei; Sulfolobales; Sulfolobaceae.